Molecule: ribosomal RNA, 785 nt
Filed under: uncultured Acidobacteriota bacterium
Lineage: Bacteria; Pseudomonadati; Acidobacteriota
Description: bacterial SSU rRNA
Rfam family: Bacterial small subunit ribosomal RNA
Source: RNAcentral
AGCAAUCCCUGAGUACAGUGGCGUACGGGUGAGUAACACGUGGAUGAUCUACCCCUUAGUUUGGAAUAACCAUGGGAAACCGUGGCUAAUACCGGAUAAGCUCGAGAGAGGAAAGCAGCAAUGCGCUGAGGGAGGAGUCCGCGGCCGAUUAGCUAGUUGGUGGGGUAAAAGCCCACCAAGGCAAAGAUCGGUAGCCGGCCUGAGAGGGCACACGGCCACACUGGCACUGAAACACGGGCCAGACUCCUACGGGAGGCAGCAGUGGGGAAUCUUGCACAAUGGGGGAAACCCUGAUGCAGCGACGCCGCGUGAGCGAUGAAGCCCUUCGGGGUGUAAAGCUCUUUCGGCAGGGAAGAUAGUGACGGUACCUGCAGAAGCAGCUGCGGCUAACUACGUGCCAGCAGCCGCGGUAAUACGUAGGCAGCAAGCGUUGUUCGGAGUUACUGGGCGUAAAGGGUGUGUAGGCGGUUUUUUAAGUUUGGUGUGAAAUCUCCCGGCUCAACUGGGAGGGUGCGCCGAAUACUGAAAGACUAGAGUGCGGGAGAGGAAAGUGGAAUUCCUGGUGUAGCGGUGAAAUGCGUAGAUAUCAGGAGGAACACCGGUGGUGUAGACGGCUUUCUGGACCGUAACUGACGCUGAGACACGAAAGCGUGGGUAGCAAACAGGAUUAGAUACCCUGGUAGUCCACGCCCUAAACGAUGCAUAUUUGGUGUGGGCAGUUCAUUCUGUCCGUGCCGGAGCUAACGCGUUAAAUAUGCCGCCUGGGGAGUACAGUCGCAAGGCUG